CCUACGGGUGGCUGCAGUCGAGAAUUUUUCUCAAUGGGCGCAAGCCUGAAGGAGCGACGCCGCGUGGAGGAUGACGGUCUUCGGAUUGUAAACUCCUGUCAUUAGGGAACAAAGCUUCCGGUUAACUGCCGUGGAGUCUGAUAGUACCUGAAGAGGAAGAGACGGCUAACUCUGUGCCAGCAGCCGCGGUAAUACAGAGGUCUCAAGCGUUGUUCGGAUUCAUUGGGCGUAAAGGGUGCGUAGGUGGCAAGGUAAGUCGGGUGUGAAAUCCCGGG
RNAcentral lists this ribosomal RNA (275 nucleotides) under uncultured bacterium. Its description in RNAcentral is "partial 16S ribosomal RNA". It matches the Rfam family "Bacterial small subunit ribosomal RNA", at positions 338 to 606 of the family's 1533-position model. The record is from RNAcentral.